UUCCAGACACUGCAUUCUGAUGGACCAGCUGGCACCAUGCAGACUAGUAAACUGGUCUUGUGGCCUCUCAUCUGGUCUUGCGGCCUCUACCCAGAAACUGACUCAGUGUUGGAGUACUGUGGUGCAAUUUCAGCUUAUUGCAGCCUCAACCUUUCUGGACUCAGUCAUCCUCCCACCUCAGCCUCCCAAGUAGCCAGGACUACGUGGGACUACAGGUACACACCACCACACUCAGCUAAUUUUUUUGUAUUUUUAGUAGACAUAGGGUUUCGUCAUGUUGCCCAGGCUGGUCUCAAACUCCCAGACUCAAG
This 311-nucleotide long non-coding RNA is filed under the name Homo sapiens (human). Its description in RNAcentral is "HSALNT0190316". Lineage: Eukaryota; Metazoa; Chordata; Mammalia; Primates; Hominidae. The record is from RNAcentral.